Molecule: ribosomal RNA, 882 nt
Filed under: uncultured Halomonas sp.
Lineage: Bacteria; Pseudomonadati; Pseudomonadota; Gammaproteobacteria; Oceanospirillales; Halomonadaceae
Description: bacterial SSU rRNA
Rfam family: Bacterial small subunit ribosomal RNA
Source: RNAcentral
GGCGGACGGGUGAGUAAUGCAUGAGGAAUCUGCCCGGUAGUGGGGGAUAACUUGGGGAAACUCAAGCUAAUACCGCAUACGCCCUACGGGGGAAGAGCAGGGGGGAUCUUCGGACCUUGCGCUAUCGGAUGAGCGCUAUGUCGGAUUAGCUAGUUGGUGAGGUAACGGCUCACGCAAGGCCGCGAUCCGUAGCUGGUCUGAGAGGAUGAUCAGCCACACUGGGACUGAGACGACGGCCCAGACUCCUACGGGAGGCAGCAGUGGGGAAUAUUGGACAAUGGGCGAAAGCCGUGAUCCAGCCAUGCCGCGUGUGUGAAGAAGGCCUUCGGGUUGUAAAGCACUUUCAGCGAGGAAGAAGGCUUGCGGGCUAAUACCCCGUAAGAAGGACAUCACUCGCAGAAGAAGCACCGGCUAACUCCGUGCCAGCAGCCGCGGUAAUACGGAGGGUGCAAGCGUUAAUCGGAAUUACUGGGCGUAAAGCGCGCGUAGGCGGCUUGAUAAGCCGGUUGUGAAAGCCCCGGGCUCAACCUGGGAACUGCAUCCGGAACUGUCAGGCUAGAGUGCAGGAGAGGAAGGUAGAAUUCCCGGUGUAGCGGUGAAAUGCGUAGAGAUCGGGAGGAAUACCAGUGGCGAAGGCGGCCUUCUGGACUGACACUGACGCUGAGGUGCGAAAGCGUGGGUAGCAAACAGAUUAGAUACCCUGGUAGUCCACGCCGUAAACGAUGUCGACUAGCCGUUGGGAGCCUCGAGUUCUUAGUGGCGCAGUUAACGCAAUAAGUCGACCGCCUGGGGAGUACGGGCCGCAAGGUUAAAACUCAAAUGAAUUGACGGGGGCCCGCACAAGCGGUGGAGCAUGUGGUUUAAUUUCGAUGCAACGCGAAG